Molecule: long non-coding RNA, 561 nt
Filed under: Mus musculus (house mouse)
Lineage: Eukaryota; Metazoa; Chordata; Mammalia; Rodentia; Muridae
Description: long non-coding RNA chrX:123284027-123284588
Source: RNAcentral
ACACACACACACACACACACACACACACACAUACACACAAAGAUCAAGGGGAUGAAAAUUGCAAAGAAGAAGGAAAUGUAUCACUAUUGGCAGAUGAUAUGAUAGUAUACAUAAGUGACCUCAAAAAUUCUUCCAGAGAAUUUCUAUAGCUAAUAAGCAACUUCAGUAAAGUGGCUGGAUAUAAAAGUAAGUCAAAUAAAUCAGUAGCCUUCCUGUAUACAAAUGAUAAACAAGCUGAAAAAGAUAUAAGGGCAACAACUCCCUUUACAAUAGCCUCAAAUAAUAUAAAAUAUCUUGGGCAAAAUUCUAACCAAACAAUUGAAAGUCCUGCAUGACAAUAACUUUAAGUCUCUGAAGAAAGAAAACGAAGAAGGUCUUAGAAAAUUGAGAGAUCUCUCAUGCUCAUGGACUGGCAGAAUUAACAUAGUAAAAAUGGCCACACUACCAAAGGCGAUCUACAGAUUCAAUGCAAUCCCCAUCAAAAUCACAACAGAAUUAUCCAAAGACAUACAGAGAGCAUUUGUUAAAUUAACCUGGAAAGAGAAAAAAACCCAGGAUAGG